GUCCAGCUGGUGAGUACCAAAUGGGACGAAACACGUGUCCUGGAU
Schistosoma mansoni is the source of this 45-nucleotide non-coding RNA. The record is from Rfam. Lineage: Eukaryota; Metazoa; Platyhelminthes; Trematoda; Strigeidida; Schistosomatidae.